CUCGGUCUCAAUCACCAGCGUAUCCUGCCUGCCGCAAGAAACGCUACAGGAAGCGGGGUAAACGGAGCGGCAUUCGUGUCCGCCUUAAGGCUUAUUUUCGAGCUCAAGCUUUGGCUGAUCCAUAUGCUACCAUGGACCUUCUACCUACCUCUUCCUGCUCCCGGCACCGGCUUUCUACUCGAUCACUCAGCUGUCGGUGGAUUUGCUUCGCCGGGCAGCUAGACUACCCCGCCCUCCCAGAGGCAUGCCUACCUAUUCGGACCAUUGACUGUAGAAAACAUGGACGACGCGACAGCUCCCCAAAAAUGAAGCCAAAACGUCUCUAUCGCCCCCUGGUGUCUUGCUGCAGUAUAGGUCAUAAACCCCGCCUCCUCCAUGUUAGCGGAUGGGACUGGGGUCAGACUAAAACAAAUUAAUUCUCCUUAGAUAAUUUUUUUUUCCAAAGAUUCUUUCUUUUGUUUUCAAUAGUUCUCAUCACGCUGAUUGAUGUCCAAGGGGUCUCCUCUCCCAUAAGUUUGAUUCUAAUUCCUACCGCGGUGAUGUUAAAUUGGGGUGAAACGUCAUCAUAAGAGCUUUGACUGACAGCUGCAGUCACGGAAAAACUUGCGUAUCUCUGUUCGGGAAUAGCAGAUAGAGCGUAGGCUCUGAGAGGACGCCCAGCGUUUACAGUACGAAAACACGACCGAGUGUUUUAACCUGACAGCCUGAGGUGUUCUUCAGUAAACUGGACUACCCGACAGAAGGACCCGAGGCCCCGCUGCACUUUUUCGAUAUCAAGUGGAAGACAGUCUGGAUGGUCCCCCAUAAAUAUUUGAUUGUAAAUAAGAGAUUCUGGAAGGAAUUUAGCAGGUUUGUUAUUGUCCAUAUUUUAAGGGAGUUUUCUUUACGAUGGGAAGGUCCAGAGAAGGUCCACUGCCAGUUCAGAUAGAGGGGGAGGAGGUGGAGGUGGUCAACAAGUACAAGUACCUCGGGCUGUGGGUGGACAAUAAACUGGACUGGUCAUGCAACACAGAGCACCUGUAUAAAAAAGCCCAAAGCCGACUGUACUUCCUCAGGAGGCUGAGGUCUUUUAACAUCUGCAGGAAGCUCCUGAGGAUGUUUUACCAGUCGGUGGUUGCUGGAGUACUUUUCUAUGCUGUGGUGUGCUGGGGGAGUAGCACAGCAAAGAAGGACUCAUCCAGGCUGGAGAAACUGAUCAGGAGGGCUAGCUCUGUGGUCGGCAUGAAGCUGGACACUCUGGUGACAGUGGCAGAGAAAAGGACAUUAAAGAAACUGAUGGACAUUAUGGACAAUGCUGGGCAUCCUCUGCACACGGCCAUAAACAAUCAGAAGAGUCUGUUCAGUGACAGGUUGCUUCUCCCCAAGACAAGAACUAACAGACUUAAAAACUCCUUUGUCCCACACGCCAUCAGACUGUUUAACUCCUCUCUGGAGGGGA
Astatotilapia calliptera (eastern happy) is the source of this 1438-nucleotide long non-coding RNA. The record is from Ensembl. NCBI's taxonomy places the organism in Eukaryota, Metazoa, Chordata, Actinopteri, Cichliformes, Cichlidae.